Molecule: long non-coding RNA, 573 nt
Filed under: Fukomys damarensis (Damara mole-rat)
Lineage: Eukaryota; Metazoa; Chordata; Mammalia; Rodentia; Bathyergidae
Description: lncRNA (ENSFDAG00000022710.1)
Source: RNAcentral
UUCCAAACUUAUCCGUUACAUGGGGAUAUGUCACUUGUUUGGCACACAGGGAGUGCAGUGUAUAAAGGACUGUGGAGAAUGAAGCAGAAGGAACACCAGUCUGGGGCACUAGAGGACAUGCCUCGUGGACAUGCAUGUGGACAGUUACAGAUAGCCUGCUGGGGUCAAUUCUGAAAGCAAUUUAUGACAACUCAGCCUGUGGCUCCCCUCACAACAGCCCGUCAGGUGGGUAAUUCUCCCAGCCUGAGCAUCAAAGCAAGCUGUCCCCUCACAAGUUGGUUUCUGCAAGUCCAGAGGCCUGCAGGAAAGCUGACACCACCCCAGCUGCAGAGCAUGUGACCCAUUUCUGACCAAUGAGAUGCACCAGUUCUUCAGCUGGAUAAGGCUCCAGAAGUGACACUUUUUCUUGGAUGCAGACAUGUGGAAAUUGCUACCUCUAUCCUGUUACUCACUGUAAGGAUGGCGCUAACAGUGUGGGGGAGGUUUGAGAUGAGUAAAUCACAGGGUGACAGAGCAGAAGAGUAGACAAAUCAGCUUGGGAGCCCAUGCUAUUGCUGGGCUUGUGGGUGUGGG